GAUGAACGCUAGCUACAGGCUUAACACAUGCAAGUCGAGGGGAAACGGCAUUAAGUGCUUGCACUUUUUGGACGUCGACCGGCGCACGGGUGAGUAACGCGUAUCCAACCUUCCCAUGACUAAGGGAUAACCUGCCGAAAGGCAGACUAAUACCUUAUGGUCUUCACUGACGGCAUCAGAUGUGAAGUAAAGAUUUAUCGGUUAUGGAUGGGGAUGCGUCUGAUUAGCUUGUUGGCGGGGUAACGGCCCACCAAGGCAACGAUCAGUAGGGGUUCUGAGAGGAAGGUCCCCCACAUUGGAACUGAGACACGGUCCAAACUCCUACGGGAGGCAGCAGUGAGGAAUAUUGGUCAAUGGGCGAGAGCCUGAACCAGCCAAGUAGCGUGCAGGAAGACGGCCCUAUGGGUUGUAAACUGCUUUUGUAUGGGGAUAAAGUCAAUCACGUGUGAUUGUUUGCAGGUACCAUACGAAUAAGGACCGGCUAAUUCCGUGCCAGCAGCCGCGGUAAUACGGAAGGUCCGGGCGUUAUCCGGAUUUAUUGGGUUUAAAGGGAGCGUAGGCUGGAGAUUAAGUGUGUUGUGAAAUGUAGACGCUCAACGUCUGACUUGCAGCGCAUACUGGUUUCCUUGAGUACGCACAACGUUGGCGGAAUUCGUCGUGUAGCGGUGAAAUGCUUAGAUAUGACGAAGAACUCCGAUUGCGAAGGCAGCUGACGGGAGCGCAACUGACGCUGAAGCUCGAAGGUGCGGGUAUCGAACAGG
RNAcentral lists this ribosomal RNA (761 nucleotides) under Prevotella melaninogenica. RNAcentral's name for it is "bacterial SSU rRNA". It matches the Rfam family "Bacterial small subunit ribosomal RNA", at positions 28 to 776 of the family's 1533-position model. The record is from RNAcentral. Lineage: Bacteria; Pseudomonadati; Bacteroidota; Bacteroidia; Bacteroidales; Prevotellaceae.